UAGACAAUAAGGGUCAGGGAUUGUCUGUAGAGAAUUUCACAACACUAAUAAAACCAUCUAAAAUUGGUCUGCUUUUUAUUUCCACCAGUGUUGGAAAUAAAAAUAUAAUGUUAGUGACAAUAUUCCUCCCCAAAUAAUCUCUUGUUGGUCUAAGUUCUAAACAAUGGUGGGUACUGCUGAGUUAUAUAUGAGCACAUUUUUACUUUCUCUCCUUUAGUAACCAUUGUAUUCCACAUGGAAGUUAAUUUGGUUAUUAAUUCACAAGGACUCAGCUACCAAUGUUUGUUCCAAACAGCAGACGAGGAGAGAAUGUUGGGAGCGAUGGCGGAGACAGGGGCAUGGAACUUGGGUGACUUCAAUUCUGUCAUUCUAUGCAACCCUGCAAAAAUAUUUGUAGACUGUCAGAAUGUGCCUCGAACAGGAGAAAUGACCACAGGUGCCCGUCUUCCGUUGCAAGAAGAAAUUUCAGGGGCAGCAUUUGGAAGCCUCAGUCAGUUUCACCAGGAACUGGACAAGUGCCCAAUGGCUCAGAGGAAAGAAAACUUCGGAAAUUAAAAUGAACAAAAAGUAUUCCUCUAUCAAUGAGGAGUGUAGACAUUGACAAAUCUGGCUGAACUGCCUACUAAAUGUGAACAUGCAAGGAAGACUAAUUUUGAUGAAAUCAUUGACAAAUUUGCAGAAUUCUCAGAACCAAAAAGUGUAAUGUUCUCUGCGUUACCAACAUGUAGGUAUAAGUUUUUUCCCUUUUCUCAAAGUAAAAAAAUAAAUAAA
This is a non-coding RNA of Microcebus murinus (gray mouse lemur), 771 nucleotides long. Lineage: Eukaryota; Metazoa; Chordata; Mammalia; Primates; Cheirogaleidae. The record is from RefSeq and is a predicted model, not a curated record.